GAUAACUACUGGAAACGGUAGCUAAUACCGCAUAACGUCGCAAGACCAAAGAGGGGGACCUUCGGGCCUCUUGCCAUCGGAUGUGCCCAGAUGGGAUUAGCUUGUUGGUGGGGUAACGGCUCACCAAGGCGACGAUCCCUAGCUGGUCUGAGAGGAUGACCAGCCACACUGGAACUGAGACACGGUCCAGACUCCUACGGGAGGCAGCAGUGGGGAAUAUUGCACAAUGGGCGCGGGCCUGAUGCAGCCAUGCCGCGUGUAUGAAGAAGGACCUUCGGGUUGUAAAGUACUUUCAGCGGGGAGGAAGGGAGUAAAGUUAAUACCUUAGCUCAUUGACGUUACCCGCAGAAGAAGCACCGGCUAACUCCGUGCCAGCAGCCGCGGUAAUACGGAGAGGUGCAAGCGUUAAUCGGAAUUACUGGGCGUAAAGCGCACGCAGGCGGUUUGUUAAGUCAGAUGUGAAAUCCC
Molecule: ribosomal RNA, 468 nt
Filed under: Escherichia coli
Lineage: Bacteria; Pseudomonadati; Pseudomonadota; Gammaproteobacteria; Enterobacterales; Enterobacteriaceae
Description: bacterial SSU rRNA
Rfam family: Bacterial small subunit ribosomal RNA
Source: RNAcentral